AUAUAUUGCGAUGCAAUAUGUGUGCAAAGCCCUUUUCAGCAUUUCCUAGGAUGUGAAGGCAAUUUAACAUUUACCUAAUCACAAGAGGAGUGUAGACUGUUGUUGCCCCAAAGAAGGAUGAGGAUGUCGUAACCAAGGUAUACCGCCUGCUUUCCAAUGACAGAUCGCUUACAUGAGUAAGGUGCAGAUUGAUCUGAAUCAAGAAGUAACUAUUCAUGGGUGAAGGGUGGGAAUGAUGAGAUGUUUUUCAGUUAUACAGUGGACUCAUAUAAGGUUCUUAGAAGAGAGGGUGUGGGAAGAAGAAGACGCGACCUCCAGCGAUGCGUUGCGCCGCAGCUACGUCCUCCCCCGAACAACCAGGGCAAACAAGCGAGGUGUACAAGAGAUGAGCUUCCGCUGCAAGGUUUUCUUUUCCUCCAACCAUUUAUUUUC
Lolium perenne is the source of this 432-nucleotide long non-coding RNA. RefSeq lists it as uncharacterized. The record is from RefSeq and is a predicted model, not a curated record. Lineage: Eukaryota; Viridiplantae; Streptophyta; Magnoliopsida; Poales; Poaceae.